This is a small nucleolar RNA of Oryctolagus cuniculus (rabbit), 130 nucleotides long. Its record names the gene SNORA70. It matches the Rfam family "Small nucleolar RNA SNORA70". Rfam says of the family: snoRNA U70 seems to be exclusive to mammals and is a member of the H/ACA class of snoRNA which contain H (ANANNA) and ACA box motifs. H/ACA box snoRNAs are involved in the conversion of uridines to pseudouridines (5-ribosyluracil) a constituent of structural RNAs (transfer, ribosomal, small nuclear, and small nucleolar). The record is from Ensembl. NCBI's taxonomy places the organism in Eukaryota, Metazoa, Chordata, Mammalia, Lagomorpha, Leporidae.
CUGCAGCUAAUUAAAUCAGUUGGGGUUCUUUCCUUAUUGGGCUCAAUAUGCAAUGGCUGUAAACAAAAGCCCCCUAGGUAAUGUAGGCAGCCUGUUACUUACAUGUGCAUAAACAUCAUUGGACACAACC